This 40053-nucleotide long non-coding RNA is filed under the name Phaseolus vulgaris (common bean). RNAcentral describes it as "long non-coding RNA (PVUL_LNC004533)". Lineage: Eukaryota; Viridiplantae; Streptophyta; Magnoliopsida; Fabales; Fabaceae. The record is from RNAcentral.
UAGUUGAUAACUAAUUAGAUACCAAUUUUAGAAUUUAAAGUAAUUGAUAGCUAAUUAGAUACUAAUUUAAAAUCUAGUUUAUAAAUUUUUAUUAAUAAUAAAAACUACUUUAAAUAUUAAUAAUAUUUUAAUCUAUAAAAUAAUAUUUAAUUUAAUCAAUAUAUAAUUAAUUAUUUUUAAUUAUAAAAUUAUUUUAUUUAAUAAUUAUACUGUAUUGACCAUAUACAUGUAAAUCUAAAGUGAAUAAAUAGAAUAGUAACUACAAACUCUGCAUAUGAAGAUUUAUUAAUAUUAAAAUAAAAAGUGGAACUUUUAAUAUAUUCUUCAUUGUUUCCUCUAAAAGUCACUAUAAUAUAAUCAAGACAAUCUCUAACAUUACCAUCACUAUUGACAAAUAAAUUAACUUAUUAGUAAUUAGUUCGUCAAUUUAAUAACUAUAUAUAGAAGAGAGAAAAGUAAAAUUUCAUUUAAGAGUGGAGUUGAUUGUAGAAAUUAAAUUACGUAUAAAGUUAAGGGAGGGAUAUCUAUUAUUUUUUAAUAUGAAUUGUAAUUUUAACUUGAGAUCUUCCUGUCUAGUUAAGUAAUUAAUAAGUAGAAAGCUUUAUUAAAAAAUAUAUUGAAGUUGUAUUAGAAAUUUUAGAAAAGUGGAUCCAAGUAAAUAACUUUCACUUUUAAAUUUUUUUACUAGGUAUUUUUCUGUAAUUUAUAUAUUUAAUCUCUUGCAAACGUAACAACUAUGAUUGAAUUGAAGUUUGAAAAACAUUUUUCUGAAUUUUAUGAUUAUAUGGUAAUGUCACAUUCGAGGAUUACAUAAAAUAACGUAACGUGCAACAUGAAACACGAUUGUUCUAACACAACUUUCAUCCAUUCAAUUUAUUUCUUAUAUAAAUAAUUUUAAAAUUAAAAUUAAUAAAAUUUCAUGGUUACCUAACAUUUGUCUAGUUUGUCUGAAAAAAAAUGUCCAACAAUAAAUUAAACUGGGCAAAAUAUAAUCUGUCCAUUGAAAUUCUUAAAAUAUUAAAUACAGAUUUUUGUAUUAUUUUGUCACUCUAAACUUUUGAACUUUAAAGAUAUAUAUUUUAGGUGUUUCAAAAAUUUAUACAUAUUGAUCUUUAAUGGUAAUAACACUAGAUGGAAAAAAAUUGUACAGAUGAUGGUCUUAAUAGUGUUGAUUAUUAUAUUUAAUAAAAAAAGUGUGAUAAAGUUGUCAUGUAUAUAAGUUUAUUUUUGUCGUUAGUACUAAUGAAAUCUAAAAGGUAUGUUUAAAUUUCAAAGGAAUCAAAAUAAUAUAAUUUUUUAUAAAAGUAUUUAGUGUAAUUAAAUUUUAAUAUCUCGAUUAGAGAUUAAGAUAUUUCAUUUUAUAGUAUAUAAGCGGGUGUAACUUCAUAAGCUGAUUUGGUUUAAACUUAAAGUUCACUUUUUAAUAUGAUAUAAGAUCCAUUUAAAGUCGAACUUAACUAGAGAUUUUGUUAGUCUUACCAAACCAUCUACUAUCGGAUCGUUAUUGGAUCAUAUAUAAAUAUAUAGUCUCAUACACAAACAGUCACUCUCCGCGUGAGAAAAUGUGUUAGAAAAUUCACAUAGAUUAAGUGCAAACAUUACCUUAUAAGUCGAUUUAAGUGCAAAAAUUACCUUGUAAGUCGAUUUUAUGAGUUAGAUUUGAAAUUAUUUUUCAAUAUUCAUAUAAAUUAUUUUUUUAAGAAUUAAUAUUAAACAAGCAGUAAAAAAAUAAUUAUUAUAAAAAUAUUAAAAAUAACCAUUUAUCUAAAAAUAUAUAAACUAAAAACACUCUUUUCGCAAGAAUAAAUAUGACAGACAAUGCCAUUAUUAGAAUUUAGAACACACAUGAAGGGGUUGGAGAAUAAUUUAUUAACGUCUGGAGCAGCAGCACCUAGAAGCAUUAAAUAUUCAUAAUUAUUUGUAGUAACAACUAUUUUUAAUUUUAUUGUUCUUUGAUUAUUAUUCCACUACAACAGAAUUGAUAACCGAUAACAGUUUUAAAACUUACUUAGCAACUGUUAAAACUAUGGUCAUAAAACUACAUAGUGAAUUUGUAGGCUAUGAUGAGUUUAUAUGUCUAUUUGUUGGUUGCGGCUCAACCCAACAUGUAAAUUCGUUUUUGAGCUAAACUCGAUUUGGUGAACUUGAUAUUAAGCACGUAAAAUAAAAUAAAAUAAAAAGCACCAUACUAUUAAAAUCACAAAUGAUAAUAGAAUGUUAAAAAAAAAUGUUAACUCUUAGUAAUUAACAAAUAGGUUGAGAAUCAUGUUGCCCCAACAGGAAGAAAAUGUUCUGUAGGAAGUGUAAGAGAAAAAAAAAAAUAAUGUAACAUGAAUACUUUUUUUGUGUUGUUAAAUUUAAAUGAAAAUCACAGGAACUUAUAUGUAAUCGAGAACUAUGUUUAAUCAAUUAUCUUUUUUAAACCUAUUAUUUGAUUACUUAUUUUUAAAAUUUAUCUCAAUUUAUUACAAGAAAAAUAUUAUAAUAAGUUAUUUAUAAAUAUUUUCAUCCAUAUAAUUUUGCACUUUAUAUGCAUAUAAAUGAUUUCAAGUUAACUAUUAAUAAUAAAUUAGUUGUAUUAUAAAUAAAAAACAUUAUAGUAUAUUUAUUUUCAAUUUAAUUUUUAUAAAUAAUUUAAUUCUUAUGUUUUUAAAAUAAAAUAGCUUUUUUUUUCAAAAAAAAAGGUUCUUAUACUGAUAAUCAUUUAAAUUAAAAUCUGUUUCUUGUUUGAUUCUUUUGAAAAUAUCAGUCAUGCCAAUGUGAUAAUAUCCAAAUUUUAUAUAAUUUUUCAGUUAUAUGUUUUUUUCUAGUUAUAAUUGUUUUGUAAGUUUUUUUUAUUUAUUUCAGAAACUAAUAAAAUUUAUUUUAAAUAAUAAAGAUUCUCACAUGAUAAAUAAAAACUUCAAAUAAAAUCUAAGGUCAUUGUUUAACAAAAUUUACAACCAGAGCAAAUCACAUUUCUUAUAUAAGGAAUGAAGUUAGUGUAAACAUUUCCAAAAAUGCUUAUGACCAGUUAAACAAAUUUUAAUUAUUUUUAAGAAAAUGAUUCCGAUAUUCAUGUUUUCCAAGAGUCUACAUAUGAGGUAGUGACAGAAUUGUCAUUCUACUACAUAUAAGCUCAUAAUGGACCUACUCUUUACAAAGCAGAAUUGAACAACUGCACAACAAAAAUAAAUCUUUUCCACUGCAUAGCAACUGCAAAACAUAUCAAUUGCAGAAUAAAUCAUAAUCAACUGCAUAACAAAAUAAAUCUUUCCAUAAUAUUGAAAUUUACUGUAUUUUUCACCUACUACUUCAAAUCUAAAAUCAUCAUCUACUGAAAUAUUUCAAAACAAGCUCCUGGAUUGUAAAACAACACCCACUAGUAAUCCACUGCCAAGAGUAGAGCUUAAAAUAUUUCAACCAUUUUCCACUUCCCUCCGAAUGUUGAAAACAUUUGAGAAUUUUGGGCCAACCCUAUUGACCACCAAACAAUAGAAAACUAUAUAACAUGCCACCUGAUUCUAUUAUCUGAAUCACAAUUAAGAAAUCCCAAACUUCUAUUGCUCCAUCAACUCAAGCACUAAACUCACCUGGAGAAGAAUUCACAUUCAAAAUACAAGUGAACUAGAGUUUUGACUUCCUUAUAAGGUACCUCUAGACAUGACUUCAAUGGUUGGAGUAAUACCUCUAUAUGCUUGUUCUUAAGGGAGAAAUCAAUCUUGAGCUAGCUUCCAAAUACAAGAUUGAACCUUGAGUAAGUGUCAUAGAACCUUAUCCAGCCUAAAUUUCGAUAAUAGAACCUUAUAUGCGAUUUAACCAAGUAAGUGUGUCUAUGUAAUAAAUAAAUCAUUUUCAUGAAAGUUGAAACUUUAUAAAAUGAACUCAAAUUUAAACCAUUCAUUGACGCUGGCUUCAUAUAUUGGAGCUUAUUGCGGAAAAUCCUUAUUACUAUAUGACUUUAGAGGAGUUUUACAGUGUAAUUACAAGAUAGAAUACUGACAUAAAGUCUCCAUAAGAUUCAAGUUUUGAUAUGACCAUCCUAAAUCAUCCUCUGAAUGUUGUCAGUAAAAUUAACCAUAGUUUCAAGACUGUUAUCAUCUGCAACAAUGAAGCACCAAAUUAAAAUCACAGAUUUUCAGAGUUGAGACACAUUAUAUGCACAAAACUAAUAUUCAAAUGCGUCCUGGCACCAGUCAUAGUUAGUUACAAUGAAAGAUCUACAAUUUAAAGUAGGAGACACCACUAACCAAGUUUGGGGACUGUAUGCCCUCUGGGGUGAUGAAUCACAACAGGAUUCUGGAAUGCUCCCAACAAAGCAACGCUCUCUUCCUUCAUGAAAUCUUUCUCCCCUUCACCACAUAAUAAGAAUAGAAGAUACAAUACAACUUUCAAAGUUAAAUGUAAAGGAAAAUUUGCUUAAGCAGAAUCACAUAUGAGGGACUUGAAAUUACCAAUAAUGUGAAGAGAUAAGCAAUCAAUUGGUUUUGAAAAUGCAUUAGAAGCCAAUUUAGGCAUUCCAAACUUGUUUCCACCAAACUUGGCACCAGAUAUCACAAUCAAAAACUUGAUCUUGUCUACCUUCCCAAGUGCUACACCCUAUAAAAGUCAUCAUUCCCUUUAGUGAAAUCAAAUGCAGUUUUAACUAAUUUAGCCUACUUAGAGCAUCUCUAAUGCCGCUGUUUACAAAAGUUGCUUAAAAUGAAUAGCAUUGCUCAACAAAAAUUGACAUAUAAGAAACAUAAACUAUUUUUAUUUUAAAAAAAUGUACAUUUUCAAGUUAACAAUCAUCGUCAAGACAAAGAAACAAAGCUAUACACCCAUUUAAAAACUUUAGCAUUAGAGUUAAAACUCAAGUAUUCAUUCUUUGACAAUUUAAGAAAUAAAACCGUAUAAGCAAACCAUGCUUCAUGCUUCGUAGAUACUCAUUGAAAACUCAAAUAUUCAUUCAUUCUUUCACCAAAAGGGCAUCAUCAAGGAAGGAAAGAUGAACUUAAUAUAUAAAAGAGAAAGUGUAAACAGUAAUAAGAUGAGUUUCUUGUUCAGUACCUGCGCUUGCAUUCCUGGCAAUGCAGCCGCUAAAAUUGCUCCCUGAGAGACAACAUUCCUUAUGUGUCAAAAUUGUAUAAACAAAAGAUUACAAAAAGUUCACAAAUAACAUUGUAGCAGCAAAGUCCGCACCUGAGAGAAACCCAAUACACCAUCGAAAGGACCAUUUUUGAGCAUGUAAUCUUCUAUGUAUGCUAAACAGGCUUCGAAGUUUCUAUACUCAGAGAAGUCCUGUACAUGAAAAGAUAAACGUUAGCAGCAUACUAGGAUAAUGUCGGUGGUGGGGAUUACUAAGAUGGACAGUCUUGUCUCUACAACAACCUCAUUGGCUUGGAACCAUUCAUAGUAAGGAGGAUCGAAAAUGCCUUCAACGUCAGAUCUUCCCUGCGCGGGAAAUUGGCCAUCGAGGAACACGAGGUCCAAUUUUUGUAUCACUGGUUCUGGCCAUCUUAAGACUAGCUGCUUGAGGAUUUCGCCACUGGUUCUGAAUCCGUGGAGACACAGGAUUCUGGGUUUUCUCUGGGUUUGGUCUUCUUCCAUAAUGCUCAAACUUUGACAGCAGAUUAUUGCUCAGGGUGCUUUCAUGAAAUCAAAAUGAAAAUUAGUACCAAUUUCUUUAGAUUUGGGCAAAAUGUAAGGGCCGGCGCCGCCGAACCCAUCAUUUAAUAAAAUUGUAAAACAUUGUAAUUUUUAGAUUUCAUCUUAUAAAAUCAACUCAAUCUAAAUAAAUAAAUAUAUUUCAAAUUUAAAUUAUAUUAUUAUAAUUAAUUUUAAUUUGAAAUAUAAUAAUUUAAUAUAGAAAUUAUAAUGCAUAUAUAUGUUUAAAUAAAAUAACAUUAUUUUUAUAUUUUAAAUAAUUAUUAUUAUUUUAUAAAAAGAUUAUGUAUAAGGCUAUUUAUAGGCCGAACCUGUUUAAAUAUAUUACAAAAAUAAUUCAGUUUAAUUUAUAUUAUAAUUUUUUGUAAUUGAACCGUUUGAUUAUGUAGUUUUUUCAUGUGUUAGCUACAAGACACUAGUCUAUUUCAGCACAAAUAAAAAUAAUUUAUAUAUCACUCAAAGGAUAGUUCUCGUAAUUUAUUCUCAUGAAAGGUGUUUCCGUCUGUUGACUCGAACAAUAGUCUUUGUCCCUCCUAACUCCGUCUGAGAAUUGAACUUUCUUGAUCGAAGAAUCUCUCACCUGCAAAGACAAAGGGCGUCUUGACGGUCGUUUGCACUCCAACGCUCAAGUCAGUAUAAGGGCAAAGAAAGACCAAGUGUAUAAAGUAGUUUCAGUCUUAGAAAUUGUGUACCUUGCUAGGAUUCUUAGCACCCUUUAUAUAGGUUGAAACUAGGGUUUACCUUCGCUCAUUUACCCAUAUCUAGGGUUCCUUCGAGAAUGUCCCUACGCCGCUAUUACAUAAUCUUAGCGUAAUCUGAUACAUUGAACUUCCCUUAACUGGAGUGCAACGACUAACAGAAUGGUCAUCUGGGUACCAACUUGUGCACCUAAUCUCUGGGGCCAUCUAUUACGCGGGUGUCUUAAGUAUUCACGUGUCAUGCAUGCAGCUCCCUUCGGAAACCCUAACCCUAAUGGGCCUUAGCGCCUCCAAGGACUGUUUACUCGUGUCGCGCCUGAAUGCACUAUACACACCACCUGCAUGGAUCCCUCGUGACUUAGGUUUUCCUUAUAUCUGUCGUUUUAACUGAUAACUUAGUAUAAUUCUAGGGUCCACCUUACGUGGUCAUAUAUAACUGUUCUGACCGUCAACAUCCGAUCUCUUCCUAUUCUGGCAAGGUCUGAUAUCGAUCUCCAACUUCGAGGUCUAUGGUACUAGUGUCCGAACGCUGACCCACACCCUGAUAUGCGUAUCUGGGACCCACCUUGUGUGGCCCAUCUUUGCUAUCAGGCACCGAUGCGCGACGUCUGAGAUCAGUCUCUGAAGUCGAUGACCGAUGACUGGUCGAUACAAAAAGAAAAAUAAAUUAUUAACAUGUAGCAUGAUUAAUCCGGUUAUAAAAAAAAAUCCCAUAAAUUGUUACAUGCUAAUAUUUUUUUUAAAAAUUAUGAAAUUGUCAUGAAUGUUAUAUCCUCAUUUAUUUUUUAAAAAAAAUUCCUUACAUAGAAGUAGGCCAUUCAAUUCUAUAUAUAUAUUUGAAAUUUGUAGUAUAUGUUGGUUAUUAAUUCAGAUUUUAUUAUUAUUAAUUCUGAUUUUAUUACCCUUAAACUAUUUUACCGUUAUAUUGCAUUAAUGGUCAGUUUACAGGCCUGUUAGUAUUCUUAUUUUAUAGCUUCCAGUAAUUGUAAUUUUAUUAUAUAUAUAUAUAUAUAUAUAUAUAUAUUAUAUAUAGUNNNNNNNNNNNNNNNNNNNNNNNNNNNNNNNNNNNNNNNNNNNNNNNNNNNNNNNNNNNNNNNNNNNNNNNNNNNNNNNNNNNNNNNNNNNNNNNNNNNNUUACGUUCAAUAGUUGCUACAACCUUUUGCCUUCUCUUAUUUCCUUCAAUUAAUUCCUACAACUGGUAUCAGAGUCAGUCUGUUAUCAUAAACUCUACCCAAUUAUCAGUCCCUAUCCUUGAUGGAAAAAAUUACAAUCGGUGGUGUGUGCAGAUGAAAGUUUUGUUUGAUUAUCAUGAGUUAUGGGAUGUCGUUGAGAGUGGAGUGUUUGCAUUAGCUGCUAAUGCAACUGAGGCACAACGAGUAGCGCAUCGUGAUCAGAAGAAGAAGAAGGACAAUAAGACUUUGUAUCUCAUCCAUCAAGGGAUGAAUGACGAGACGUUUGAGCAGAUAGAAUGAGCAACAACUGCCAAUGAGGCUUGGACAAUUUUGUCAACCAAUUAUAAAGGUGAUGAUAAGAUCAAAAGGCUGCGUCUUCAAACCCUAAGACGCCAAUAUGAAUUGUUGCAGAUGGAAAUCACAGAGACUAUUUAUGUCUAUAUAAAUAAAGUUCUUGCCUUCACAAAUCAGAUGAAGACCAAUGGUGAAACACAUUCGGAGCAGGCAAAGGUGGAAAAGAUUUUGAGAUCUUUAACUCCCAGAUUUGAACAUGUUGUUGCCGCAAUUGAAGAGGCCAAUGACAUUUCAAAAAUGACAGUAAGGUUAUUGUUUGGUUCUCUACGAGCGCAUGAGCAGCGGAUGAAUGACAAUAAGAUUGAAAAACCAAUUGAACAGGCUUUAGAAGCACAAGCCUCAAUUGGUAGCUCCUAUAAUAAACAUGGUAGCUAUUUCAGCAAAGGUCGUGGUGGCUAGAAUCAUGGAGGCGCUUGGCGCGGGGAACGUGGUCGCGGAGGACGAGGAGACAUUUAUAAUAAAUCAAAUGUUGAGUGUUAUAAUUUCCAUAAACGUGACCAUUAUGCAAAUGAGUGCAGAUCAAAAGGUGAUAAUCAUGCUUCCAAUUGUGCUCAAGAAGAUAGUAAUCACGAACAAGAUGAAGAGGACCAUGAAGUAUUAAUGACAACCACAUCAAAUGAAACUCCAAACAACCAGACUUGGUAUUUGGAUACAGGUUGCACGAAUCAUAUGUGUGGUCAGAAGGAGCUGUUUGCAGAUUUGAAUGACUCAUUUCGCACAAAAGUGAAAUUCGGUGAUGGCAAGUUCAUUCCAGUGAUUGGAAAAGGGCAAAUUCUUAUUACAUUGAAGAAUGGUGAUCACAGGUACAACUAUGAUGUUUUCUAUGUACCUGACAUGAAAAGUAAUCUAUUGAGUGUGGGACAACUGGCCGAAAAGGGUUACGUGAUGCACAUAGUUGAAAAUAAAUCUCAAUUUUUUAUAAAAAAAAGGUAAUUUGAUUCUUAAAAUCUUUUUAUCAAAAAACUGCAUGUUUCCAGUAGAUAUUCAUAUGGGUGAUUUCAAGUGCCUGAAUGCAAUAGUGAAUAAUGAAUCGUGGUUAUGGCAUUUACGCUUUGGGCACUUAAAUUUUCAGAGUUUGAAAAAUCUUUCCAAAAGAAAUUUAGGCUUUGUUUGGAUUAGGGAGUGGAAAUGAGGGAGUGGAUUUGAGAUGAUUUGAAGAGAAACUGUAAAGAAAGUUAGGGUGUUUGGAUUAAGGUAAAGAGAGGGGAAAGUGUAGGGAAAGUUUAUAAAAGUUUGUGAGUGAUGUGAUGGAUGUGAUUGAAAUUGUAUUUUUUUUAAUUGAUAAAAAUGUAACUUUACACAUUUGCCCUUAUAUUUAAAAAAUGAUAAAAAAAAUUAUUUUGAUUGAUUAUUUGUGAAUUACAUUUUUUUUAAAUUAAAAUUAUUUUUUCGACAAUUGAAACAUUAUUUUUGAUACCGUGUUCGAGCUAACUUCGGAAAAUUAUAAAUUAUAUAAAUUUUUUGGAUCAUAUUUAUGAUUGAUAAACAUUAUUGAGAACAAAGUUGUAAUUGUGAAUUAUUUAUUUUUCAAUUAUAGUUGUAUGCAAUUAAAAGAUUAUUUUCGGUAUGGAACAAAUUAUUUCUCAUAAUGUGUUGGAUGUAUAAUUCGAUAAAGGAUUUUUUUUUUAAGAAAUAAAUAUUAAUGUGUAUUAAUGCAGUAUUUUAGUUUAUUAAAGCAAAAUUCAUUGAUAAAUUUUGUGCAUAAUAAUAAUGAUUCAGAAAAUCAUAUGAAUGAUACAAUGAAAUAUGUUUCAUUCAAAAUAGUCAUGGAAGUCCUUAAUUUGUUUAGGGAUUCGUGUCAUUAAUAAGAUUACAGAUUCGAAAAGAAAAACACAUAUGCAUAAUAAAGUACAACCAAAUUUUUACGUAGUUUAGGGAUUUGUAGUCAUUAUCUUGACCAGCUUUCUCAUUCUUCGCUCAAGAGGCAGGCCAAAGAGUUGUUUUACCGCAUUAGGAUGACCACACAAGAAGUCGUAACAAUUAUCUAACAAAUCUCCAUCUUGUAUGUUCAUCUCCACUAACAUUUCCCAGAUGUCAUAUUCAGAGUACUGGAAAGUCGAUGUACGAGGAAGUGUGCGCGUGUGUUCACGAAAUAUGGAGUUUCGUUCUUCUUCUGCAACAACAUGGCGUCUGUUAUAUUGCAGAUUUUCUUCCGUAGCAUUAGCCACUCGCUGUGAUGACAAAGCGACAACCUUAGAUGAAAUGGCUUGUCGCUCAGCAAUAUGACAUAACCUAUCUGACUGAUCAGUACCCCUCCCAAGGAUAUCAGUUAAUCCUUCAAACCUUGUGUUAAGCCUUUCCAGUUGCAGAUCAAUGACGUCCACCAUAGGGGCUUUUCUUUUUGAGCCUCUAGAAGAAGAAGUACCACCUGAUGGCUGGGAUGACUGAGGUGGCACCAAUGGGGGUGUCAAAUUAGGGUCAGGGCUGUAUGAAUCAACAUUAGGAUCAGCUGAGCGAGGAGUUUCACAUUGAGUAGCAUCCAAUCCUGGCUCCUCUAGGAUGUCCUCCAUAUUGUGAUCAUUAAGAUCUACAUUAAAAUGAUGAGACUGAGUUCGAUUUGAGGACUGCAAUGUUGUUCUUCCACCGUGGCCAGUAGCACGAUCAAGCCCCCAAAGUCUUCCAUCAACUUGUAGUGCCUGAUGGGAUUAACACGCCAUUUUGCGGUCGAGGGCUUUGCCUGUUCAUUAAUGAAAAGAAAUACACUCAUAAUCAUAAUUAGUGGUUAAUGUAUGCGAUAAGUGAACAUCAAGUUGAAUAUGUUACCUUUAUCAACGAAUCUCACACUUCAUCCUCGGCCUCGAAAAUUUUCGUGCUUGGAUUCCAAGCAAAACCACUCAGUCCACUAAAUAGAUCAUGGAUCUCACGCCAUUUGUCCUUAAGGCUUUUCUGCCUGUUCUUCACAUUAUUUUUUGUAAUCCCUACCAAUCCAGUCUGAUGUAAGGAUUUAACAAUGUUUGUGUAACCCUGCGUCGUCCAACUACCAUCAAUGCGGUUACCCAUAGAUGCCUCAUCGAUCAUGGCAUUCAGCAAUCGGAAAUCCAUGUCGGUAGUCCAUUUUUUGUGUUCACGGACAACUGCAGAUGACUCUGAAGCAAUACCCUUCCCGUGAUCCAUGAUAAAACCUAAUAAAAAAGGUUAAAACUUUAGUACAAUAACNNNNNNNNNNNNNNNNNNNNNNNNNNNNNNNNNNNNNNNNNNNNNNNNNNNNNNNNNNNNNNNNNNNNNNNNNNNNNNNNNNNNNNNNNNNNNNNNNNNNUCAUACGUAAAUAUUAAUAAAGGUGGAAUGUCAACAUUAAACCAUGAAAUUGUUCUUACAACAAUAUAAAUAUAAGUUCACGGAUGUUACAUAAAAUUAAUUAUUACAAUAACCUUUCCACAUUUCAUUCGCUAUAGUAUCCCUAAUUUGUGACCCGAGCCUGUAGUCAUCCUCACGAGUUUGCGAGUGUGACACAUCUAUAUCUCCUUGCAUCAACUCACGGUCAACUUCUUCCAACAAAGAGUCAUCAUUAUCCACCCCGCGAAGAAAGUUAUGAAGAAUACAACAUGCUAAAACAAUAUCGGUCAUAGUGUCCACAGAGUAAUGAGGCUCUGUUCCGCUAAUGAUAAUUGGAAAUCGCUUUUUGAGGACACCAAAUGUUCUUUCGAUAACAUUUCUUAGUGAGGAAUGACGAUGAUUAAAUAACUCACGGGCAUUUUGUGGACCUCUUCGGGAAUACUCUUUUAGAUGGUAUCGAACUCCGCGAUAUGGAGUUAUAACUUGGGUUUUGAGCAUAAAACCCGCAUCUCCAAGGUAGUAUUUGCCUACAACCAUCCAUUAAUAAUUGUUACUUAUAAGUGAAUUUCAUGUCAAAAUCANNNNNNNNNNNNNNNNNNNNNNNNNNNNNNNNNNNNNNNNNNNNNNNNNNNNNNNNNNNNNNNNNNNNNNNNNNNNNNNNNNNNNNNNNNNNNNNNNNNNNNNNNNNNNNNNNNNNNNNNNNNNNNNNNNNNNNNNNNNNNNNNNNNNNNNNNNNNNNNNNNNNNNNNNNNNNNNNNNNNNNNNNNNNNNNNNNNNNNNNNNNNNNNNNNNNNNNNNNNUCGAUUGUUGUUUAAGAUAUGAGGUUCAACCUCAGUCCCAGCUGGUUGAAUUAAGAACUCUCCAUGCAUCAUCAAUAUUGCUUUCAAAACAUUAUGAAAGUGACGAGACACUGUUUCCCCGGACCGAUGAAAGAAGAACGAAACACUUCGAUUCUUGACGUUAUAACCAAUGAUGUGUAAAAAUUUAGCCACUUGUUCUUCAACUAUAGAUCGAAAUGCAUCUUUAACCAUAUCCGUUCCUCUUAUUCGUUGACAUAAAUUAAUAAAUGCUUCCGGACUCAUGCGAAUAAUGUCACGACAUCUUUCAGUAUGGACCAAGUACGACAUCAAUUCUUGUCGACGACGCUCUUUUUGUGGAAUAAACUCCGGUAUAGGAUUAUUUGUCUCGGUUAACACACGCAAUACGUUCAAUCCAUAUCCAAUCAUGCAAAGAAUUGUCAUUGCUGCUACUUAUGUCCGCAAAUUGAUUUGCUCUUGUAUUUGUGAAACUAGUGUGAAAUCAACACCAACUACAUCGGGAUUCAUGUCAUUCGUGCUAGACAUCUCGACAUUUUUGAAAUACAUAGACCAAUGGUUAUCGUUAUCCAUGGUCACAAAUCCUUGACAAUCAUAUAAGUUUAACUAUUAGGUCUAAAGAACCACCUUUUAGAGAAAUAAUAAUACUCAAUUUUUUUUACUUUUAAAAAAAAUUAAAAUAUUAUAUAUAAACUCUGUAAAGUGUUAUAAUUAUAGUUGUAUUACAAAUUCAAAAUAAUAUUUAUAAAUUUUUUUUUACUUGAUUUUAGGAAAAAAUAAAUAUUAUAUAUAAACUCUGUAAAGUGGUAUAGUUAUAGUUGUAUUAUAAAUUCAGAAUAAUAUUUAUAAAAUUCUUUUACUUGAUUUUAGAAAAAAUAAAAUCUUAUAUGUAGACUAUCUAUAAAGUAAUAUUUUAAAAUAUUUAAAUACUUUGUAUACUUAUAAUUAUUUUAUAAAUUCAGAAUAAUAUUUAUAAAAUUCUUUUACUUGAUUUUAGAAAAAAUAAAAUCUUAUAUGUAGACUAUCUAUAAAGUAAUAUUUUAAAAUAUUUAAAUACUUUAUAUACUUAUAAUUAUUUUAUAAAUUCAAAAUAAAAUUUAUAAAGUCUUUUAGCUGAUUUUGGAAAAAAAUAAAUAUUAUAUGUAAACUAUCUAUAAAGUAGUAUUUUAAAAUAUUUUGUAUACUUAUAAUUAUUUUAAAGCCUGUUCAAAAUAAUAUUUAUAAAGCUUUUUACCUGAUUUUAGGAAAAUUUAAAUAUUUAAAUAUUUUGUAUACUUAUAAUUAUUUUAUAAAUUUAAACUGAUAUUUAUAAAGUUUUUUACUUUAUUUUUAGAAAAAAAUAAAUAUCAGAAACAAUUUAAAUAUUAAUAAGUUUGUUUUAACUAUCAGAAAACUCAUUCAAACUUUCAUUAAUGCUCAUUAAUUCUCAUCAAUAUACUCAUCAAUGUGAUUAAGAAAAAACUUUGAAAACUCAAAAAGGCAGCAGCAUUCUAUUAAUUCUAUUAACAUAAAUAAAAUAAAUUACAAAUUCCUUCCCUCCACAUUUCAUUCUCAUAUUUUAUUCUCCAAAUUCCAAAUCUAUGUAUGAAACUUACCUCCAGAAACCUAGAGAAAACGAUGCCACCGCGAACCACCAACGACCACCGAGCACCACCAGCGGAACCACCACCCACCACCAGCAACGAAACCGUCCACGUCCAACGACCACCAACAACGCCGCCUACGGAACCCCACCCACACCUUGCACCUCCGACAACCGCACACCUCCAACACUUACGAACCUCCGACAACCGCUCACUUCCAACGGUUGUGAACCUCCGACAACCGCGCAUAUCCACCGCGUACCUCCGACGAGCACCUCCGACAACCGCGCACAUCCACUGUGUACCUCCGACGAGCACCUCCGACCGCUUCUAAGGGUACUCCCUCAACUCAAAACAAAUAACCCACCUCCACUCCUCUUCCAUAUUUAUCAUCUCUCUCAUUUAUUCAUCACCCACACACUUGAAUUUAUCCACCAAACAAUGUACGAAUCCCUGUUUGUGCUGUGUUUGUGUUGUGUUUAUGCAAGGAAUCUCAUGCGUGAGAAUGGAGAGAAUAUUGGAGUUGCAUGGCACGGGCAUAGGCAGCUAUGGCACAUAGGUUAGGUGAACGGAUGGGUAAUAUGGUAAAAUGAGAAAGUUUCUCUCCAAAUCUUCUCAUCUCAUCAGGGAAGCCUUUUUCCCUUUCUUUGCUUUUCUUCGCCCCCUAAUCCCCGCUAACUCCCAGAUACAAACAUCAGAUUUAUUUCCUUUUCAAUCCGGGUGAACAGUAAUCACCCGGAUACAAACACAGCAUUAGUGAAUGGUUUACCCCAUAUUCAUCACCCUGAUCAAUUGUGUGAGGCUUGCUUUUUGGAAAGAAUCAUAGGAUACCAUUUGUUAAGGAGCCUUGGCGUGCAAAAUUUCCUUUGGAGCUUGUUCAUACUGAUGUUUGUGGCCCGAUGAACAUAUCAUCAGUUGGAGGUAAUAAGUAUUUUUUAACCUUUAUUGAUGAUUUUUCAAGGAAAACCUGGAUUUUAUGUAUUGAAAAGCAAGGAUGAGGUAUUCCACUGCUUUAAAAUAUUAUAUUUAAAGCAUUUGUUGAAAGACAUAGUGGCAGACAAAUUAAGAUGGUGUGUAAUGAUGGAGGGGGUGAGUACAAGUCUAAUGAGUUCAAGAGGCAUUGUGAGGAACUUGGGUUGCAGCAUAACAUAACCUGUCCCUACACACCUCAACACAACGAAGUUGUUGAGAGAAAAAAUAGAACAAUCAUGGACACGGCGAGGAGCAUGCUUAAAGCAAAAGGUAUGCCAAAUUAUUUUUGGACUGAGGCCGUAACAUGUGCGGUAUAUUUGAUAAACAGAUCACCCACUCGGAGUGUUCCUAACACAACUCUGAUUGAGGCAUGAAGUGGAUUCAAACCCAAUGUGCAGCACUUGAAGGUAUUUGGGUCAAUUACUUAUGCUCAUGUUCCCAAGGCAGCAAGAUCGAAGUUGGAUGAUAAGGCAGAGAAGACCAUUUUCAUUGGAUAUAAGCAUGGGGAUACAAAUUGUACAAUCCAAUGACAAAGAAGGUGAUUGUUAGUCGUGAUGUUACAUUUGCCGAAGAUGAGGAAUGACAAUGGAAUGCAACAGUUGAAAUUGAUUCAAAAAAACGAUAUAUUUACGUUUUGAACGAUGAUGUGGAAGAUGGAGUCACUCUUAAAGCACCUACAGUUCAACCUGAAGCUGUAAUUCAACCUGAAAAUGCAACUCCAAUUGCAACUAUGAUGGAGCGACCAAGAAGGCAACAACGACAACCUGUACACCUUCAAGACUACGAAGUAAAUCUUGACGAUGAAGUUGAUGACAAUGGAGAUUUAGUUCACUUUGCUUUUGUUGCAGACUCAGAACCUGUGAGACUUGCCGAUGCCAUUCAACACCCCAAAUAGCAAAAGCCUAUGAAUGAAGAAUUGAUGGCGAUUGAGAAAAACAAUAUCAUGACUCAAAUUGGGAAGGAUGUUCCAAAUCAUAAUUAAGGGAGGAUGUUGGUUAUUAAUUCUGAUUUUAUUAUUAUUAAUUCUGAUUUUAUUACCUUAAACUAUUUUACCGUUAUAUUGCAUUAAUGGUCAGUUUAAUGGCAUGUUAGUAUUCCUAUUUUAUAUAGGUUCCAGUAAUUGUAAUUUUAUUAUAUAAAUGAUUGAGUAAAUUAAAAUGAAUAGAAUCAAUUUUACAAUUUCGUGCAAUUACGUUCAAUCAACAUCUAAUUUAAAAAACCAUUUUUGCAUAGGACGGAAAAUAGUUCGCGUCCUAUAAGCAAAGCUAAAUUUUAUUCUCACUAGUUUUAAACACUACAAAAAAAAACUUUUAUUAGAAAGGGCCAAAGGCGGACACUAAUCACAAAAAGCCCACGCAAAGAUGCAAUUAACGUGGGCUUUGCCUUCACACAACUUUGAAGCUAAUAUCCUUGUCGCAAAAAAACUGUCGGGUGCGUGGCGUCGCAAAAUGUUGGCUUGCGUGGGCUUUGCCUACAAGUUGCCAACACAAAAAAUUACAAAUGUUAACUUAAGCGGGGGCUUAGCCUUGGACAGAAAAUGAGGGCUUAGGCUUAGCUAGGGGGACAAUAAAAUUAGCGUGGGCUUAGCCUUGGAUAAGGGGACAAUAAAAGUAAAAAUAAAGCGUGGGCUUAGCCUUGGAUAGUGGGACAAUAAAAUUAGAAUAAAGCGAGGGCUUGACCUUGGUAAAGUGACAAUGAAAUUAGAAUGGGCUUAACCUUGGAUAUGUGGACACCUUUUUUUUUGUAUGCACUAUUUUUGGCAGCUAUUGAACUCCACUUUUAAAUAAAAGUUUGGAUUUUAAAUAUUAAAUAUUAAUAUUUUUUAAUUUGCUUUUUUUUUUGCAAUAGCAUUAAAAAGAAAAAAACAUCAAUGAAUUGAUAAGUUAAAAACUAAAAAACAAAAGUAAUGAAUAAAUUAUUAUAUUGAUGAAUAAAAAGUGUUUAAGCACCGGAAGAUGGACAUUAAUUAGUUAGCUUGGUUAUCUUAGUGAUUUCAUUAUUCUUCUUCUUAGGUUUAAGCUUUGUUGAAAUGCCUUCCAUUUGCGCUGCUUACUAGUUAUGUUUUAUCAAAACAUAUGCAAUGAAAAAACUAUCAUUUUAAUACAUUUAAGAAACAUUGUUCUAUAAUAAAUAUUUUUAUUAUAGAAAGUUAUGCACCCAACAGCUGGUUCUCUAGCUUAAGUUAUGCUUAAGUUAGUAAUUUAGCUGGAUGACCACAGUUGUGAAUGAGUAGUUUGAUAGGCUGGUUCUCUAGCUUCCAUGAUCAUCUUUUCUGGAUUCUAUGAAUAUAUUGUUUAUCAAGUUUCUCUGGACACAUAACAUAGUAUCUAAAAUUGGGGAUCGUACAACAACAACAAAGGUUUAAGGAUAGCUACAUACACAAACAUUUAAAUCAUAUGGUAUAACAUCUUGGCUCUUAUAUGUUAAAGAGAUGAUUAUAUUCAAAAUUGUAUAUUGAUCACACAGAAUCCUCUAUGGAGUUACUAAUUAAAUUGCAGAUGUCACUGCAUAUACCCUAAAAGAGNNNNNNNNNNNNNNNNNNNNNNNNNNNNNNNNNNNNNNNNNNNNNNNNNNNNNNNNNNNNNNNNNNNNNNNNNNNNNNNNNNNNNNNNNNNNNNNNNNNNNNNNNNNNNNNNNNNNNNNNNNNNNNNNNNNNNNNNNNNNNNNNNNNNNNNNNNNNNNNNNNNNNNNNNNNNNNNNNNNNNNNNNNNNNNNNNNNNNNNNNNNNNNNNNNNNNNNNNNNNNNNNNNNNNNNNNNNNNNNNNNNNNNNNNNNNNNNNNNNNNNNNNNNNNNNNNNNNNNNNNNNNNNNNNNNNNNNNNNNNNNNNNNNNNNNNNNACUCUUGAACAACAAAACAGAUCCAUGCAUAAUCCAAAUAUAAAACAAUACCAUUUCUAAUUUUUGGAUUGAUUUCCAUAGUGAAUCUAAUUACACCAAAAUGAAGAAGUUUGUGAUUGAACAUUGAAAGGCAAUGACACUUGCCAAAUGUUUUAAGCAAAGAUAGAUGUCACAACCCAGUGUGUCUGUCUUCCCAGAGGAUGAAAAGAGAACAUAUAUAUCUACGUACCUCACAAAAUUGCAAUAUUUUCCCAAAACAGAAAAAUGAGAGAUACUGCAUGAACACACUGCCAAUAAGAUACUUACCCAAAAUUGCAAUCCUUUUUUCCUUGCUUAUAUCACGAACUUUUACUGCAUGAACACACUCACUCAUCACAACACUACCAAGAAGAUAAAAACAUGCACAUCACAACACUACCAAGAAGAUAAAAACAUGCUCAUCACAACACUGCCAAGAAGAUAAAAACAUGCAAAGAGUCAUGCAUGCAAUGUGAGUAAUACAUAAAUGACUCAACCUCUCCAUGUCUUUCUAUUGCAUUGCAUAAAUUCUUGUCAAGGAAACUACAAACCAAACUUAAGAAAUGUUUUAAGAAAACUAACAAAAUGAUGAACUCAAGGCAGGGGUUGAUCCAAAAUUUGCUACACCAAAACAAAUCCAAAAUUAAUUCACUACUAGAAAACUAAAGAUCAAUAAUUCUCUCCUUAAUUUCAAUUACACCAUGUAAAAGGGUCAAAUUUCACUAUGAAUCCAGGACUGGUAAAAGCUAAGAGAAGCCUAAAUUACUUAGAAAUGGACAACUUAAAAAAGAGAGUAAAAAUUGCGAAAAAAAAUGCAUAAGGGGCAAUAGAGAAAGAAGCAAGAGUUCACUGACAAGUGGCAUGGCUGAACAGGGCAAGAAACAUAAACUUUUAAUGGCCAUGAUAUAUUUUCUUUAUCUUUUUUUCACAAUUAAUUCAGUACUUCAUAUUAAGUAGUUAAAAAUUCUGCCAGACAAAUCCUCCCCAAAUUACACGACCUCUAAACCCACAAGAACUGCCAGACUGCCAGUCAAACUACAAGGUUAGCAAUGAAUCCAACCAAAACUUAGAAUCCAAACAAGAAGUUUAGUCAGUCACAAAUAAAGACUCAAGAAUGGUAAGGGUAACAAAACCUAAAGCUUCACAAAUCCCCUGGGAUGUGUUUCCACAUCUUACCUCACAUAUCAGUCUGGAAAAAUAUGCUCUAUCUACAAUGUUUCAAAUAAAGGGGAGACAUCUUCCCUGAGCAUUUUAUUAUUACUAACCUAUGAUUUGCUAAAAAGAAUCAAACAAAAACAAUAUUCAAAUUUAUGUUUUUUAAUCCCUGCUGAAAAAGAACUAACACAAAGUUACAUAUGAUAGAUUUUUGUCAUCAAAUAAAUAACUACAUCCAAACUCAAGUAAGCAUCUCCUUCCAGUAUUUAGAUCUCCUACCUCACAUCCGUGGCUUGUUUUUCGUGUACACUAGCAGAUUUUAAUCCUUAACCGGUUUUACAUGCUAAAAAGAAAUGAACACAAACGAAUCAACACCUAGACAUAAAAAAUUUAAGAACUAUAUUUAAAUUCAAAUAGAUAUUGGUAAUAAAGACCAAGAAUUUAAGAAAGCAUAAGAUGAAUUGAAGGAAUAAAAAAACCAGAGAAAUUCAAAUAGUCAGUCCCAGUUAAAGACAAAAAUAUGUGUGGAUGCAAAGAAGAUCGAUAAUCAUGCAACACAAAUUAGGCAAGAACAUUGUUCCUUUGCACGAACCAAGUUCAAGUUCAAAAUUCAUUUGUCAAUGAAAGAAACUAAUAAAGUAUAUCUGACAGACACAUCAUAUAUUACAAACUUCAAUAAUCAACAAGAACUAUAUUCAAAUUUAUAUUUUUUAAUCCUCAACUGGAAUCAUGUUGAAAACGAACUAACGCAAGCACAUAAACGGUUACAUAUGAUAGAUCUAACAUAAAAUAAAUAACUACAUCCAAACUCAAGUAGACAUUUGUCAUGAAAGAAAGACAAAAAAUGUAGGAUAACAAAACCUAACGCAUCAAGGAUCUCCAUCCAGUAUUUAGAUAUCCUACCACACAAAGAAAUCAACACCUACACAUACAAAUUUUAAGAACAAUAUUUAAAUUCAAAUAGAUAUCAAUAAUAAAAACCAAGAAUUUAAAAAAGGAUAAGAUAAAUUAAUGAAUUCAAAAACCGGUGGAGCCUUAGUUGCUCAAAACACGCACGAUGAGGUAGAAGAUUCAACCCUUAGGCCUUAUAUAACAUACUCCAUGAUAUGGUGCAGGGCAUUAAGUGAAAAUAAUUCAAACAUCGAACACAAUUCAAUCCUUGGAGAUCAAGUAGAGAGAAAUUAAACAAUAGAGAGGAAACUCAUCAAGAAAUUAGGAUAUCCUGAGCUGCAGUCGUUUUAAACUCUUUUAGAGUUUAGGGUUUCAAAUAUCAAGUAGAAAAAAUUCAAUCAUCGAACACCAUUUAAUCCUUGGAGAUCAAGUAGAGAGAAAUUAGGGAAACAAAACAUAAUACUUCACAUCAUGUCCUACACUACACCACACAUCCAUUGCGUGCUUUCCCUGUACAGCCCAAAAAUUCAAGAAACGAAUUAGCUGUACAGCCAAAAAUUCAUGAAAACGAAAUAACCUCUUAAUAAAAAGAAGUAUAGAAAAAUGAUAAAAAUGAAGAUGCAGAUGCAGAUAAAGACUAAAAAAGACUUGGACAGUUACACAACCAAACACCACUGCAGACAAACACCAAUAAACAAAUCAUAAUCCAAUCCUUAUUUUCGGUGAUCAAUACCAGAUAAAUUAAAUAAUAGAAAGGAGACUAAAACAAGACUUGGAUCAAUUGGCCUUUCUAAACUAUUAUGUUUUUCAUUUCAUCGAUAGACAAAACAAAUCUCAAAACCAAGUCACCAGCAGAAAAGGGAUAAAGGAAUUUGAUCAAAAGAUUCAAAACUUGCCAUCAUCACAAAGAAUCACAUUCGGCGUAAAUGAAUCACAAUCCAAUAAAAGCACAUUAAUCACUUACAAAUAAUUUUUCUAUCCCACGACGCAAACAUCAUGUAAUUCUACAAAACCUUAUAGAGAAUCACAACAAUAACCGAAGCAAUACUAACAAAACUGAUCUUGGAUAUAUAUGUAAUACUAACCAAUGACUAAAUCUAAUAACCCAGCAACCAGAAACUAAAUCUAAUAACCCAGCAACCAGAAACACAGUGUUAGGGUACAAUCGAGAUGGAUUGAAAACGAAAGGAAAUGCAAAACUUACGAUGUUAGGGCACAAUCAAGAACACGGUCGUACUCCGGUCGCAAUGCUUGAAUGCUCAACAGAGAGAGUACUUCGGUCGCAAUGCUUGAAUGCUCAACAGAGAGAGUACUCCGGUCGCAAUGUGAGAAUGUUGUUGAUGCUGAGGAAAAGUGGAGUGAAGUGAGUAUUGCAUGGAGAGAAUUGCUUCAGAAUUGAAAAAUGAAAGAAGAAAAAGAAAAGAAGGGAUUAAAGUAAAGCAAAAAUAAAAAUUAAUUAUUUGUGUGUAAUUUGCAUGGGCUUAACCUUCUUAUUAUUUAAAUUUAAUUUUAAAACUUUUAACGUGGGCUUAACCUUCAAAUAUUUAAAUUUUAAUUAUUUUUAUAAUUUUAGUAGCUGCCAUUUCAACAACGCAACCAUUAUUAUUAUUUUUUUUUUGAAGUUUACGUGAGAAUAACACACGCUUUCCUCACACCUUAUUUAAUUUAUUUUAGGUUUAAUGGAUACUAUAUAGUGUCCACUUAUGGCCUUCAAUAUUUGUUUGCAGCUAAAUUAAGAUUUCUUUGUAAUGAAAUAACUUUUUUUUUACCACCAAAAGGAAUUUAGAAAAAACGAGAAAUUGAACAAUAAGAUGAACGAUGUGAUAAAGACCAAAUAAAAAUAUAUUAAGAAUAAAAUCAUUUUAGUGUUACUUAUAAAAGAAUAGUACACAUCAGAUUUCUCUGGUUACUGAUAAUAGAAUUUAUAUAAUAAAUAAAUUAUUCAUACGAGAUUACAUAAAACUAACUCAAAUUUAACCAUAGAUUGAUGACAGCUUCAUAUAUUGGAGUUUUUUUACGUGAAUUUUUUAUUAUUAUUAAGACUCUUAGGACCAAUCAAACAAUAGAACACAGUUUGAAGAGUCUUAUCAUGUACGCAACGAAGUACCAAAUAAAAUUUUGAGAUGUGUUACAACUAUACCUGGUAAAAGUGGGAUAGUCCAACCUCAUUAAACUCUUCAAGAAAAAAAUGUGAUCAUAUAGACUACUCCAUAAUUUCAACAAACACCAAUUUUCAGGUUUAGUUCCAUUCUAUAUUAUAACAUUUCAUUUUCACUUAGAAAAAAUAAAUUCACCUCCACACUUACAACUUUAUCUACUUAAACCAAUUUAAUCCAACUACGUGUUAAGAAUAUAAGUAUAAAUUUGAGUCUCAUUUAAUAAAUAUAAGAAGUUGAAUAACAAAUAACUAUGAAUAAAUAUAAAAAGUUGAAUAACAAAUAACUAAUCUUAAGUUUAGCACAAAACACAAUUAGUUCAACUAAAAACUUACAAAAAAUAUUGGAAGCAUCAAUGGAGCUUAUUGCAAUAAAAAAAAAUCUAAACAAAACAUUGUUUUGUUAAAAUGUGCAUCUAUUAGUUAAUAAGUUUAUUAUAAAACUUGUAUUGAUUUUCAUUUUCACUCAAAUUAUUUUAUUUUUUUAUAUCUUUAAUCAUGUAACGACAUGUUAUAUUCUUUUGUAGGAUAUCAUAUGAACCCGAGGGAUAAUUAAGACAAAGGUUUGGAUUUCUAAAAAUAAUAUUAAUAAUGCAAAUAAUAUUAAUAAUCUAAAUAAUAUUUAUAAAAAAAUUAUACUAGACAUUACAAACAUCUCACUUAUAUUGACAUUUCAAAUUUCAACCACCUCUAUUGAAAAAAAAAAUUAUUAAACAAGUAAAAAAAAAUACAAACAAGUACGAGAAAUUAAAACAAAAUCCAUACUAACCAUAAAAUACAUCAAAACUAAACAAGAGAAACAUAGUUAAUUUAUACCUAUUAUGGAAAAUGUUCAAGAAUAUAUUAAAAUAAUAUAUUAAAAUACAGUCUAUUAUACCAAAUAAAGUCUUACCUAUAAAGAAAGUCUAAAUUGACAGAUUUAUCAUUACCCCUCUUAAAAUAUGAAAGACAUACUUUUACAAUAAAUAAGACAUUUAUUUCAUUUAUUCUUAAUAAAUCAUCAAGUCACAUGAGUCAUAGAAGGAAAAGCAAAGCAAACUAAUAUGAUUCACACUCUUACCAUAAUAAAUUAUAAACCAAUGUAAAUAACAUUUAAUGAGGGAUAAAUUUUUUCAAUAAAUAAUAAUAUUUUUUAAUUUAUUUUUAGUUAUUUGUGAAUCUCAUUUCGAUUUGAUAUUUAAUUUGAGUGUCAUAUUGUCAUUAACCAAUAUUUAAUUGUUUUUUCUCUUAUUCUAUUAUUGUGUCAUUCCAUUUGGAGCAAUAGAGGGGCUAGUUUAGUGUAUGUGUUGGCAUUUGAUUUGUUCCUUUUCGGUAUGUUCGUACAAGGUAAAAUCGUAAAAAGGAAAAAUUAGAAAACUGUCUUGUUAGAGUAUUGUGUUAGCAUAAUAUUGAUCUCAAAAUAAGGUUAUUUUGUAUGUUAUUGUUUUAUAAAUCUCAAAACAAAUUUUGCAGGUUCAAGAAAAAGCUUUGGAAUAUGGAAAUUAAAUAUAAAUAUUUAUCAAAGAAUAGAAAAAUACUUCAAGUUAGCAUGUUCCUCAAUUGGAAUAUCGAUCUCAAAAUAAGUUUAUUUUUGUACUUCACUAUUUUAUAAAUCUCAAAAAAAAAUUGCAGGUUCAAGAAAAAGCUUCGGAAUAACAAAAUUAAAUUUAAAUAUUUAUCAAAGGAUAAAAAAAAAAUUAAAAAAAAAAUACUACGAUCAAGUUCAUUUUCUUGAAAACUUUACGAGCUCUAAAAUAAAUAAAAAAUACAACUAAUUAUUCAGAAAUUUAUGAACUUGGAAAUUUUUAAUUUUCAUUAAGAAUAAUUAUUUUUUAUGAUAUGUUAUUUGCAAUUAAUUAAUCUAGUAAAAAAUUACAAUCAAAUAACGAGACUAUUGAUAAAUUAAAAGGUAUUCGUUUAUUUUAUUUCUGUAAAUUAUAGGAAAAAUGAAUUUGAAAAUGCAUUGUCUUCUGCUAAAGAAAUUGCUUUUGAAAUAGAUACAGAGUAUAAGUUAUGUGAAAAACAUGGUAGAUCUGUUGAUAAUAUAAGUUAUGUGAAAAACAUGGUAGAUGUGUUGAUAAUGAAAUUCUAAAAUCUCCUAAAAAAUCAUUUAGAUUUUAUGACUUUCUAUACAUUCAAAGAAAACAAUUAACUCCAAAGUUGAUUUAAGAAUUCAAAAUAUAAGAAAAUAUGAAAAAUAUUUGAAGAAUAAUUUCGUGAUAUUGAUGGAUUAUAUUUAUUUUCAAAAUUUAAUAUCUUAAAAGAAAUGACAGAAUUGAAAAAUAAUAACUAAUUGACCUUCUAAAUCAUAUAAAAUAAAUAAAUUAUUUUCCAAAUAUAUAUAUAAGAGAGGGAUUACAGGUAAUAAAAUAAUAUAAAUAUUCUAGUACUACCAAUAUAAUCAAGAAAUUAAGGUGAAUGAGAAUUUAUAUUUUUUUUCUCCAAUCCAUAAAGAAAUGUUUUAAAAAAAAUCAUUAUAAAAGAUCGAUCUAUUAUAAAGUGGAUUUUAAGCUUAACUCAAUCCCAUAAAACUGGUUUAAUCCCAUAAAACUGGUUUAUAGGGUUGAGGAUUGCACCCACUUAUAUACGAUGAAAGACUCUAAUCUCUAGUCGAUGUAGAUUCCAACAUCAACCUCAAAUAAUAUUUCUUGUAAUUAAGAUCAAAACAGUAAACGAUUACAAUAUCGAUUGAUUUCGUUGAAAUGAUUUUUUUAAAACUAAAAGUUACUUAAUAUUAUCAACGAAACCCGAGGCUCACCUCUCCUUUGACCAUGUUAAUUCACAAUCUCUUUCACUAUGCCAUUAAAUGAGUUUGGAACAAGUUUUGUCUUUCUCACCGUCGUCAUGCUUCCCAAGGACCCAUUCACUUAACUCUUCGUGCGUUCCAAUGCAAACAAGUCAGGGUUUUGAUUUGCUUCCUACGAAUCCAAAAUUAGUAACUACAGAAUGUUGUUUGUUGUUGACUCUACAAAUUUAGGGUGGGAAAGAAAAGUUUAUAUCAUACUACUCCACUUCAUAUGCUACUUCAUUUGAUUUUUUUAUUGGUUGUUCUUUGAUGAAGUUUUUCAUUGCUGUUGAUGUUCUUGGUGGUUCUUUGGUCAAGGUGUCUAUUGCUACACGGUGUGUGGGUGAAUUUGUUGGUGACUAGAUUUUUUUGUUAUCAUGGGCUGGUGCAUAGUUGUACCUUUUUUUUUUCAUUGAAAAUUUAAUUUGUAUGGGUGAAAUCUAAACUAUAAAGAUGAUGAAAUUUGCUAAUUCUAGAAUACGUUGUGAUUUUGCAACUAUUUUAUUUUACUUCUACUAUGUGUGAAUUUAGUAAGGUUGAAACCAUCUUGAAAUCUUUUUUAUAUUUAUUUAAACUAUGAUUUGACUCUCGCUAUUUGUUUAUAUUUUAAUAUUAAUUAGGACUUAAUCCUCUUUAAGUUAGAGUAUGUUAAGGUUGCGACCUCUCUAGGUUAGAGUAAGCAAGGUCUUGAUCCUCUCUCUAAUUUAGAGUUAAAGUUUUCCAAUUUCCAAUAAACAACUCUUUUACGUUGUUAAGCCCACUCUAUUAACGAGAGUCCAAUCUACAUUAUUAGUUUCCACUUAGAGAGGACUUAUGAUUGUUAUAGGUUGACGUAAAUAAAAAAGUCAUUUUCAAUCCGUUCACGGUGUAUGGAACACUAUAUGUCCACAUUAAUUAUAAUGUAACGACUUCUUUUUCAAUUUUAGUCCAUCUUUGACUCAUGCUAUAGACAUUUUUCUUGUAAUUUGAUAACUUUGGAUAUUAGAAUGAGAAAUUUUUCUCGGUCAUCAUCCACUGAAUUUGAGUGUUGGAGUGACUAAUAACUCAAUUAAGGGAAACUUCAAAAUAUUAAUUCAUAAAUCACAUUUAUUAUAGAUAUAAAUGUAAAUUUGAGAAUAGGGAAUUAUGAUUGUAUUAAAAAAUAAAUAUUAUUUGUGUGUUUUUAUAACAUGAUUGAUAAAACUUACGUAACCAUUUAAAAUUAAAGCGAAAUAGGAUUAAUUGAGAAAUGUAUCGAUUAGCACAUGUAUGUUCUUUUCAACGGCUUUGGUGACCUAAUUAGAAAACGUCAAACUAUACUGGCAACCUAACUGGAAAACUUCAAACUAUACAGCCAUUCCAUUACUUGUGGAGUAAGGCAAAAAUGCCUUUGUGUUUACUUUUCUAGUAUACGUGCAAGUGUACAGGUCCACUAAUUUCGCAUAUGGUUCUUUCAUUGGCUUUUUAUUGAGUAUAGAUAUGAAAUAUAUUUGGUCCACGUCAAAAAGAAAAAGAAUUGAAAGCGAAACCAAAAAGCGAAAAAAAAAGUAGAAUUAGAAAAUUAAAUAAAUGUUGAAGUUAUUUGAUAAAAUAUAAAUAAUUAUGUUUUCUAUUUCAUUUCUCCUAUUGCAUCAUAUCACGUGACCUAUUUAUAUUCAUAUUGAUUUACUAGGAUUAAUAGUGUUGGAAAGGAAAUAUCAAUUUUGUUUCUUCUACAACUUAACAAUUAACUUAAAUGCUUGUUUGGUAUUGUUAUAAAUCUGAGACUUAGACUGAAAAGUGAAUUGUGAACUUAUGUUUAUUAUUAGAUUAAAAAGUGAGUUGUGAACUUAGGUUUAUUAUUAUAAAUUAUUUAUACUUAUUUUAUUUGUGUAGUAAGUUACGUGUGUUUUUAUUAGUUGAAUGGUGUUGGUUAUUAAUUAUGAUUUCUAUUAUUAAUACUGAUUUCACCGUUAUACCGUUAUUGUUUCAUUAAUGGUUAGUUUACUUAUUUCCUUCCAUUAGUUUCCUACAAUUGGUAUCAAGAGCUAGUCUGUUAUCAUGAACUCUACCCAAUUACUAGUCCUAUGGAAAAAAUUACAAUCAGUGGUGUGUGCAAAUGAGAGUUUUUUUUAUUAUUUAUUAUCAUGAGUUAUGGGAUGUCGUUGAGGGUGGAGUGGUUGCAUUAGCUGUUAAUGCAAUUGAGGCGCAACGAGUAGCGCAUCAUGAUGACAAUAAGGCUUUGUAUCUCAUCCAUAGGGAUGAAUGACAAGACGUUUGAGAAAAUAUAAGGAGCAACAACUGCAAGUGAUGCUUGAAUCAUUUUGUCAACCAAUUAUAAAGGGUGAUGACAAGAUCAAUAGGGUGCGUCUUCAAACCCUAAGACGCCAAUAUGAACUGUUGCAGAUGGAAACCACAUAGAUUAUUGAUGUCUAUAUAAAUAAAGUUCUUGCCUUGACAAAUCAGAUGAAAAGCAAUGGUGAAACACAUUCGGAGCAGGCAAAGGUGGAGAAGAUUUUGAGGUCUUUAACUCCCAGAUUUGAACAUGUUGUUGCCGCAAUUGAAGAGGCCAAUGACAUUUAAAAAAUGACAGUAGGGUUAUUGUCUGGUUACCUACCAGCGCAUGAGCAGCGAAUGAAUGACAAUAAUAUUGAAAAACCAAUUGAACAGGCUUUACAAGCACAAGACUCAAUUGGUAGCUCUUAUCAUAAACACGGUAGUUCACGAGGCAGAGGACGGGGACAUGGUGGUAGCUAUUCCAGCAAAGGUCGUGGUGGCUAGAAUCAUGGAGGCGCUGAGCAAAAUAACAUUGGUUUCAAUCACAUUCCAAGUUCAAAUAACUCUUGACGUGGAGAACGUGAUCGCGGAGGAUGAGGAGGCAUUUAUAAUAAAUCAAAUGUGGAGUGUUAUAACUGUCAUAAACGCAACCAUUAAGCAAAUGAGUGCAGAUCAAAAAGUGAUAAUCAUGCUGCCAAUUGUGCUCAAGAAGACAGUAAUCACGUACAAGAUGAAGAGGAUCAUGCAUAACUAAUGACAGCCACAUCAAAUGAAACUCCAAACAAUCAGACUUGGUAUUUGGAUACAGGUUGCACAAAUCAUAUGUGUGGUCAAAAGGAGUUGUUUGCAUAUUUGGAUGACUCAUUUUGCACAAAAGUGAAAUUCGGUGAUGGCAGGGUCGUUCCGGUGACUGGAAAAGGGCGAAUUCUUAUCACAUUGAAGAAUGGUGAUCACAGGUACAUAUAUGAUGUUGUCUAUGUACCUGAUAUGAAAAGUAAUUUGUUGAGUAUGUGACAACUGGCUGAGAAGGGUUAUGUGAUGUACAUAGUUGAAAAUAAAUUCUCAAUUUUUGAUAAAAAAUGUAGUUUGAUUCUUAAAACCUUUUUAUCAAAAAACCGUAUGUUUCCAGUAGAUAUUCAUAUGGGUGACUUCAAGUGCUUGAAUGCAAUAGUGAAUAAUGAAUCGUGGUUAUGGCAUUUACGCUUUGGGCACUUAAAUUUUCAGAGUUUGGAAAAUCUCUCCAAACGAAAUUUAGUGAAUAGUUUACCCCAUAUUUAUCACCCUGAUCAAUUGUGUGAGACUUGCAUUUUUGGAAAGAAUCACAGGAUACCAUUUGUUAAGGAGCCUUGGCGUGCAAAAUUUCCUUUGGAGCUUGUUCAUAUAGAUGUUUGUGGCUCAAUGAACAUAUCAUCAGUUGGAGGUAAUAAGUAUUUUUUAACCUUUAUUGAUGAUUUUUCAAGGAAAACCUGGAGUUAUCUAUUGAAAAGCAAGGAUGAGGUAUUCCACUGCUUUAAAAUAUCAUAUUUAAAGCAUUUGUUGAAAGACAGAGUGGCAGACAAAUUAAGAUGAUGCGUAGUGAUGGAGGGGGUGAGUACAAGUCUAAUGAGUUCAAGAGGCACUGUGAAGAACUUGGAUUGCAACAUAACAUAACAUGUCUCUACACACCUUAACACAAUGGAGUUGUCGAGAGAAAGAAUAGAACAAUCAUGGACAUGGCGUGGAGCAUGCAUAAAGCGAAAGGUAUGCCAAAUUAUUUUUGGGCUGAGGUCGUAACAUGUGCGGUAUAUUUGAUAAAUAGAUCACCCACUCGGAGUGUUCCUAACACAACUCCGAUUGAGGCAUGGAGCGGAUUCAAACCCAAUGUGCAACACUUGAAGGUAUUUGGGUCUAUUACUUAUGCUCAUGUCCCCAAAGCAGCAAGAUCGAAGUUGGAUGAUAAGGCAGAGAAGACCAUUUUCAUUGGAUAUAAGCAUGGGGGAUACAAAUUGUACAAUCCAAUGACAAAGAAGGUGAUUGUUAGUUGUGAUGUUACAUUUGUCGAAGAUGAGGAAUGGCAAUGGAAUGCAACAGUUGAAAUUGAUUAAAAAAAAACGAUAUAUUUACGUUUUGAACGAUGAUGUGGAAGAUGGAGUCACUCUUGAAGCACCUGCAGUUCAACCAGAAGCUGCAAUUCAACCUGAAGUUGCAAAUCCAAUUGCAACUAUGAUGGAGCGACCAAGAAGGCAGCAACGACAACCUGUACACCUUCAAGAUUGGCGAAGUAAAUCUUGAUGAUGAAGUUGAUGACAAUGGAGAUUUGGUUCACUUUGUUUUUCUUGCAGAUUCAGAACCCAUGAGACUUGCAGAUGUCAUUCAACACCCCAAAUGGCAGAAGGCUAUGAAUGAAGAAUUGAUGGCGAUUGAGAAAAACAAUAUCAUGACUCAAAUUUGUUUUAAUCCAGAUAUUCCAAUUAAGAUUUAUGUUGACAAUGUCUCUGCAAUUAAUCUUGCAGAGAAUCCAGUUUUUCAUCAAAUAAGUAGUCACAUUGAUAUUCGAUAUCACUUCCUGCGAGACCAAGUUAAGAAGAACAUGAUCAAAUUGGAAUACUACAGAUCAGAAGAUCAGAUUGCAAAUAUUUUCACUAAGCCAUUGAAGAUCAAUGCUUUCAUCAAGUUAAGAAAUCUGUUGGGUAGGAAGGUUGCUCCAAAUCAGAAUUAAGGGAGGAUGUUGGUUAUUAAUUCUGAUUUUAUUAUUAUUAAUUCUGAUUUUAUUAUGCUUAAACUAUUUUACCGUUAUUAUUGCAUUAAUGGUCAGUUAGUAUUCCUAUUUUAUAACUUCCAGUAUUUGUAAUUUUAUUAUAUAUAUUAUAUAUAUUAUUGAGUAAAUCAAAAUAUAUGAUACCAGCUCAACAGUUUUGCAAUCUUGUGCAAUUACCUUCAAUCAGUUUCUACAACAUUUUGCCUUCUCUUAUUUCCUUCAAUUAGUUCCUACAAAUGAGAAUAUAAUUAAUAUAAUUAUUUAAUAAGAAACUUAUAUACCACCUCAAGUUAUUUUGGAGUCAAAAUAUUAUAGGAAUGGUUAUCAAUGAAUGAUUUACUAAAAGUGGUAAAUUUUCUUGAGGUUUUAUGAAUGUGAAACCUAAAUAUGUAAAUUUUGAUAGUCAAAAGACUAAUCCCUUUAAGAAUUAAUAUAUUUCAAUAAAAGUGAUUGGAUAUGGUUUUAGUUUGGAGUCAACAACUUAAAGAGACUUGUGUCAAUGUGUAAUCUAUUCUAAUCCACAUAGGUUGAACUCCUAUUAAGGAUACAUAAAUUUUUAAUCUGAUCAACAAGCUAAAGAGAUUGUAUUAAAAAUAUUUCAGUAGUCUAACAGUGGUUGCGAAUUCACGUGAUAUGUGUAGCUCUCAAAGUAAAUAACUUGUUUUCCAAGCUAUCCAAAGAGAUCAAUAUACUUGUCUCCCAAGAGAUUUAUUACUACCCAUGUCAUUUAGACACAAAUAUUUAUGAUAUUGGUAAAAUUAAAAAAAAAUAACUUUACCUACAAAUAGUUAAAAUAUUUGAAAUAAGUGAAGUAAAUGAAUAAUAUAAAUUUAUUCAGAGAUUAUUUAUUAUGAUAAACCUAAUUUAUUUUAAAAGAAUAUAUGACUAAUACAUUUUUUACUUACUCAAAUAUAGUUUAAUUUAUUUUAAAAAAAAUCCAAAAGCUAAAACUUUAGAACAUAAUAUUUUAAAUGUUUUACUUUACACGUGUAAUCCUUAACUAUUUAAAUGUUAUACAAUUAUUAUAGAUAUAAUAACUAUUUUAAAGAAAAUAUUUUAUUUAUUUUAUACAUUUUUCUUACAACAACAAAAUAAAAACCAUAGAUAAAUCCCACUCUUUUAGUGUUUUUUUUUUCUUUCUCUUUUCUCAAUUUGCCAAUUUGCCGUCAUUGUUGAAGAUCUCACCCACUAAUCAAAGUCAUAUUUGAUGUGAAUGUUCUCUUCAAUUCAAAGUUUAUCUUAAUAUUAUGCUAAACUUAGACUUAGUCUAAACCUUACUGACUUGAUUUCAACUUUUCUUUAUAUUUCUUCUUUUUAUACAUAACUUUUCAAACUUUUAAUCUUACACAAAAAGCAUGUCAUUCUUCUCUGACAACAUUUUAUUUCAAUUUUUCUUGAUGGUGUGCUUCAUUUGAAAUUUCAUUUUACUUUAUAUUUCAAUUUUGCUCAUAAGUUAUGAUUGGAGUUUAUUCUAAUUUUUUCCAGUGUCUUAAUAUUUUUCCAUAGUGUGUUUGAUUUUUUAAUUUUCUAUGCAAAAAUUAGUGUUAAUAAUUGUGUCUAACUUUUCUUGUACUCUGUCCUUUAGUUUGAAUGCUUCAUCCUCUGUUCUGCUUCUAAUUUUUCUUAUAUUUUAUCCUGUGUUUUGAAUGCUUAAACUUUUACACUUGUUUUAACCUGUUUUGCUAUUAAUUGUUGUUUACUUGUUGUGAUAUAAGGUUUGCGUGAUUAGUUAGUUGAUGGCAUACAAGUAAUGAAGAACUUUUAAGUAACACAGUUAGUUAAUACUCAAUUAUUAAAAUAUUGCAAGACAUUUCUUAAAAGUGUUUUAUGUUUUAUGUAAUUGUAUUUACCUAUAAUGAAGUUGAUAGCGAAAGAAAUAUUUAAUACUUUUUUUUUCUUUUUUUUUUCUUUUGGAAGGAAUCGAGGGAUACAAACUAUAUCUUCAUAUAUGGAAAAUUAAUUUAGUUAUAUCAGUUGCUAAGUGAAGAUCAAGAUCAUUUGUUUAUUAGUGUGUACGUAUUGAUGUGUUUUGGGAUUAUUAAAAUUUGACGUGUUUGAUAAAGAGUGAUUUAUUCAUAAGUAAACUAUGUUUUGGGAUUAUUAAAUUACGUAUUGAUACUUUUAUUUUCGUGAGGGGAAUGCAUGUGCUGAUAAGUUGACUAAUUUAGGGUUCAUUCAUAGAUAAUCAUUUUAUUGGUAUAAUAGACUUCUAUCUAGUAUGUUCUUAGAAUUCUUUAUGAAUAGGUAUAGUCUACCUAUGUAUCGUUUUUGUUAACAUGUGAGUUUUGGUCUAAUCCUCCCAUAUUUUGGUAUUUUUUUUCUUUUUUUUAAUAAUAUGUUUUUCAUGUGAUGGCAGAUGAUUGUUGUUACUUGAGGUGUCAGCCUAGCUGAGAUGUCAAGUUGCAUAAUGAUGUCUAACAUGGAAAAUUUUAUAAAAAAUAAAAAAACAAAAAAAAACUAUGGUUUUUGUUAUUGAGAAAUUGUUUUUAAGAAAGUGUUGAUUACAAAUUACUAUUUUUUUUAAAAAAAAAUUGUUUUGAACAUCGUAACAUCUUUUUAAUGAAAAAUAUUUAUUGCAUAUAGGGGCUUUUAACAAGUUUGGAAUUGAGUGGAAAUUGGUGUUGGUUUAUGUUGCAAGUUGAUGGUUGAAUCAUAUUCAUAGAUAGAGUUGGUACUUUUUAAUAAUGUAAUUUAGUAUAUUAUUGAUAUUUUAAAAUGAUAAAGAGUGUGUGUAUAAUCUCAAUAAUAUAUGAUUUAAAUGUAUUAAAAAUUGAACUUUAAACAUAAAUCAACUUUAAAAAAUCGACUCAUAAGUUAAGGUUUGCACUUACUUAUAUAUUAUGAAAUGUUUUUAUCUUUGGUCGAUGUAGGAUUUUCAACAUUUCCCUUCACGUCAAGAUCUAUCAAUUCGUGUGUGAAACUAUAUAUUUAUAGGUGGUCAGAUAGCAACCGACCUUAUAAGUCUAACAAACUCUCAUUAGGAUAAACUGUAAAUGACUCUAAUACCAUAUUAAGAAGUGAAUUUUAAGCUUAAUUCAAUUUUAUAAAAUCAAUUCAUAAGGUAAUAUUUACACUCACUUAUAUAAUAUGAAAUGUUUUUAUUUCUAGUCGAUCUGAAAUCUCGAACAAAAUGUGAAAAUAUUCAAUUUUACAAGUAUGAUUAUUAUAAUUAUUAAAUAGGAGAGAUAUGAUUAUUAAGAUCUCAUUACUUGUAUUAUAAAAAAAACCCACGAACUAAAUUUUGUAUUGAUAAAAACUUGAGGAUUGUGGUUGAAAAGGCAGAACAAUUGUAAGAAUUAUCUUUUCAAGCAUAAUACAAAGUAUUUCUUUGUAAUUGAUAAAAAUUUAAACUGACACAUCAAAUAUUUAAAUUAUAUUAUUGAAAAUGGGUUCAUAGAUGAUUUAAAGAAGUAUAUGGUACAAGUUGAAAAUUUAAGAGGUUUUAAAGCAAUAAUAAUCAUAAAAUUUGGAGGAAUGACGUCCAUUCAAAAGUGAUAGGAUGAAAAAAGAAAGACAUGUAUGUUGUUUUAAUAGACUUCCACCAACUAAAUAUUUAAAUAUCUCAUCUCAAAAUUCUAUAACAGAGAAUAAGAUUAACAAUUUAGAAAAGAUUUUUAAAAAUCUUUUAUCUUUUCUUUAGAAAACAUUUUUAAAAAUCUUUUAUCUUUUCUUUAGAAAACAUUUUUAAAAAUCUUUUAUCUUUUCUUUAAACAUGAUGAGUGGUAAUUGUUCUUGCCAACAAUGUGGAAUCACAUCUUCAAGGUAGUCUCCGAACAAUCUUUCGGUAUUGUAGUCCUUGAGUGCUUGAAGAUCACCAAGUGAUGAGGGGAGCUCCACUCGUUGACAAGACUUCGACAAUCAAAUCAGUGAGAACAUUAAAUAUUUCAAUGUAGUAUGUAUUGCAUAGAAUAAUACUUGUCUUUGUUUGGGGACUCAUGACCCUUAUAUAGGACUCGUAGAUCCUUUUUUAGGAGUUUGUAAUCAGACACUUCCUUUGAACUUUUAGUUACACGAUUCGAUUUGUUGGACUCGAUCCGACUGACCCGAAAACGUCUAUUGAGUCCGAUCCAUUGGACCGAAAACACCCGAUCCACAUUAUCGGGUUCUACCCCGAUCUUGACUGAACGAUACAGUAAUAUACAAAUUGUAAAUAAAAAAUAAAAAAUAUAGUAAUUACAUUUAAUCAUCUAUAAAAAAAUUUAAUACUAAUAUGAUAUUUUAAAAAGAUAUUUUUUUCGGAAACACUUGAUGAUGAUGGAAGGAUUGAAAUUAUUCUAAUAGUAAUGUUUAAACACAGUAAAAAAAAGUCAAGUGAUAUGAUAAUGAUUGAAAAUUUACUUUUAAAUACAAUUAUCAUUUUUUACUAUAAGAUCAAUUUUUUUAAUGUGAUUACAUAUAUUUUAUAAAUGAUGUGGAUUUUUAUGGCCUGUACACAUCAUUAAUGAGUGAGAUAAUAUGUUUAAUCAUUUGCCAUUUAAUUUUUAGUACUUUCAAUGAACAAAUGAGAUUCAUAUGUAAGAAAUUUAGCAUCGAUUAUGACUCAUAGGACACAAAAUGUAUUUCAUUGAGUUGAGUGUGGUAUUUCAAUACCUAAUUAAUAUUUUUUUUGUCAUUAGUAAUUUGGUAUUGAUUUAAAAUCGAAAUUGUUGUUGACUAUUAAGAUUUAUUUGCUUUUGUAACUAUUAUGUUUUCCUCUUAUAAAUUUUGUUUAUAUUUUAGAUUAUAAAGUUGUUGUAAAACAUUGCAAAAACUUUUCUUAGUGGUUUUUAUCUAGUACAAUCAUUUAUAUUUUAGUGGACUUUUAUUGAAUUGAAUACACCCUACUCCAAUAGCCUAUGACGAGUCACACAAAUUUCAUUUGACAACAAAGAAUCUAUAGGGACAAAAAGUGGAACUUAUAGAGAAUCUUUAAAUUCAAAUUGAUAUUUUGAAUAAGUGAACAAAAAGUUAAACCCAUUUAUUAUAGCCAUUGUUUCCAAAAAUAUUUAAUAGUGAAUAUUUGAGCAAAUAAUGUAGAAUGUAUUAUAGCUAAAGACAAACAUCAUAUUAUUGUUUGGUACACGGAAAAUGUUAUAUUAUCACAAUUAUCGGUAUAUAUUAAUAAAUUUAUUCUCAAAAUUUUAACUAAUAAAUUUAUUCCACCAUUUUAUACAUGGACUAUAAUGAUAGAUUGUUAAAUGCCCUUAAAAUUUUACAUCACACUUUAUAUAGUAAAAAUAUUAUCAUGAUAUCUAUUACAAUGAAAGAAUGACAUAAACAAAAAUAUUUUGGUAUUAAAAUAUUAACGAAAAAUAAUAAAUUAUAUGGUAUUAUUAGUAAAGUAAGGAACUAAAAAUUAUUGAAGUUUUUGUGGAAUAAACUCAUACGGAAUAAUAUGUCAAAAAAAUUAAUUGAACUUAACAAUUGUUUUUUAUUAGCUAUAAGAAUGAAAUUAAUAAAGAUAUAUAUUUUAGAGAUAUAUUAACCUUAUACAAAAUCAUCAUUAUCAAACUUUCAUCUUGCAUUAAGUCUAUAAUGAUAUUAUACUCAAAACAGAUUAAUCAUACUAAAAACCACAACAUAAUCUAUUAAUCCAAACUUCUUAAAAAUGAUGUUCUUCUCAUAUUGAAUAUAUAGUUUUUAUUGAAGUUAAUAGUAACUCAUCAUGAUUAAAAAACAUGUUGUUUAGAGUUAAUUUUGUUUGAUAGACAAUUAUAUCAUCUAACUAUAUUACUUUAUUGUGUAAUUCCACUAUAUUGAUAUAAGUCUCAAUUUGAUGUACGGGAAAAGAUAGAAAAGAAAGAAAUGGGAGGAGUACAUUUGUUUAGUUAAUUAAAAAAGCUAAAUAAAUAUGUUUAAAAAAUUGUGAAACUGUGAAGUAUAUGAUAAGAAAAUCUGAACUUGUAAAUAUUUAUAACUAAAGUCUGCAAAAAGUAUAAAUAUUUUAAUUAUUUAUUUGUUAAAAGAGUGAAUAUGGAUAUCAUGCUAUUUAGUUAGCGAAUGUUCACUGUCCAUUAUUAAUUAUUUUUAUUUGAAUAUAUUUUUUAAUUAAGCAAUUGAGUAAAAUUAUUAACGAGAAAACAUUAAAAAUUGAUGAAUUAUUUAUAACUUAAUUUUAUAAAUGUAUAGUUUUUAUUUAGACUUGUGGAGCUAAAAUUAUCUUCAAAAGAUUAAUUUUAUUUAAAGUUAUAUUGUGAAGAAUUUUUUUAGAAUGAUUAAUUUUUUUCUAAUAAUAGCUUAUGAAACAUUUUUAUUAUAAUUAUACAUUAAUAUCAAUAUUUUAUCUUAUUUUAUUUUAUGUUUUAAAGAAUAAUUUUUAAAUAAUAUUAUUUUCUUAAAAGAAGGAUCCACGUGUAUCUAUUGAAAUAGGCAAGUAUUUUAAAUAACAUUAUAUUUUUUUAGUAGAAAUACUUCUUCAUAAGAUUUAUUUAUAAAUAACAAGUCACUUUAGAUAUGGUUAUCUCCUACUUCCAUAUCAAUGUAGACUCUUAUAUGUGUGACGUCAUUUAUUAUGAACUUGAAAUGUACUAUCUUAAGUGUAUCCUAUAGAAAACACCAUCACAUUCAAGUCAAAUAAUAUAAAAAUUAAGUAAUAAAUGAAUAAUACAUAUUUUGAGAUCUUCACCAUUAACUUUUAUUUAUAUCGAGUAUCGGUGGUUAAAUAUGACUUUAGUAUUGAGUUAAGAUUUUAAUAAUAAAAAUAUAGUGUAAGGGAAAAUAAUGUUAAUAUUUUAAUACUUUUGCGUGUUGAAAGAAAGAAAACAAAUCUAAAAAUAACUAUAGUUUAAACUUCGUUAAUUUUAAUAAAAAGCAUCUUCAAAACCGUAUUUAGUAGUAUAUAUAAUUGUAUUAUUUCCAGUUAUUUAUUUUAUUUUGUAGAUGCUUUCUAAAUUUAAAGGAAGAACCCAGACUUUAACCAAAACAUAUUUCUAUCCAAAAUAAAUGUAUGGUUAUGGGAAAAAAUAGCCUACAAUUGAUCAUACAAUCCAUUCAUUAAAUAAUGGAGUACAAUACAAUGUGCUAUAAUGAACCCAACAACGUCUUGUUCUAGGUUUUGUAUAUUCAGUCAUUGAUUUCUAAAUUUUUAUAUGAAUGUUUACAAUAAUAUUUCAAGGUCAAGUUAGUACUUCCUCCGAAUAAAGAAUAUAAAGUAAAAAAAGUUAAGAAUUCAUUAAUUAAUACUUAGUUUGAAGAAAAAACAUAUAAUAAAAAGUUAUAUAUUUAUUAUUUUCAAUUCACCUAUUUAUAACGGUAUUCUUCUAGUUAAGAAGAAUGUCUUCCAACUAAAGAUUUAGUUUAGUCAAAAAUAGUUAUUUCCAACUAAAUUGUAGUUCUGUCUCAUACCAUCAUCUUCCUCUUUUAUUUAAUAAUUAUUUCUCUAUUAUAGUAUUUGUCUCAUUCUUAGAUACAUUCUUAGAUUAAUUACAAUCUCGCAUAUUCAGUUAAUGUUUGUCACUUUCAAUAAAAAAAAUAAAAAAAAAUUUCAUUAUUUUAAUAAAUAGAUCAAUAUCAUAACCGUUUUCAUCUAUUAUUGGAAUCGACUUAUGAUCUCACAGUUCUCAAAUUCCAACAUAAUCCAAUGAGACUAAUAAGAUCAUGAAGUAAUUAAUUAUAGGAUGUAUCUUAAAUUUUGACUGAAAUCCAUACCAUUGAGGUUGAUGCAAAAGUUCACAUAUACUAUUAUACCUCAUCUAUAGAAAUGAUUAAUUGAGAUCCAAAUAGACUUAGAUGCGCUUAAUCAUAAUUUAUAUAUUGUUUACUUUACUCUACUUAUUAAUUAUAUUAUUACACCCUUAAUUUCACUUUAGAGAUACUUGCAUCAUUCAGUGGUGAGAUGUUGGGAUAUCGAGUGUGAUAUCGACACCUCAUAUAUUCCGGUACAAUGCAUUUGAGGAAAAUAAAAACCGAUCAUAUGUAUAAUUUUUUGUUUUCUUCCAUGCUUGGUUGUCACUUAGGUCAAUUCAGCACGAACCAACAUACUCCAUUUCAUCUUCUCAUAAAUCGAAGACAAUAAUUCCAGGAAAUGAAAAUGGGGUAUGUUAAUAAAGAAAAAAAAUAAGAGAAAAUUGCACAUAAAUAAAAUUCAAUUGAGUUCUUAAAUUACAAUGAUAUUGAAAAGAGUAGAAAUAUAUAGUUAAUUUGGUGAAUAAACAAAGUAGGUUGGAAAAAUGCGAUGAAAGCAUGAUAAGAUAGUUGUGGUUGUCUGUGGAAAUGCGAAACCCCUCUUUCUUGUUUUGUUUUGCACAUAUUUUACAAGCAAAUCCGACAAACAGAAAGAAUUGCAUAAGUCCAAACCUACUGGUAUUAUUUAGACGUUAAUAAUUGCCAGCUUUUGCCAGCUCCUACUUCAUCAUUAAAAUAUAAUUUAAAAAAAUAGACACAGAAACAGUAGUGAAGACUUUGCUCCUCAGUCCCAAAAAAUGACAACGGGAUACACUGGAUUUCCACACUUUCUCACAUGCUCGUCUUUUUCAUUUUCUGCCACGUGUAUUGUAAUGUAGCAAGGUCCCUCUGGUUCCAGCUGCGCAAACCUCACUCUCUUCCUUCAUCAUCAUCAUCAUCAUCAUCUUCUACCACUACAGCCACAAUAAACAUGCAUACCGUAUUUUUUCUUUUCAAAUAUUAUACGUAUACUUUUUGAUAUUUUAUUUCCGUUUGAGUUGAGUAGUUGUUCUCCAUUUGCAACGGUUACCUAAUAUUAUUCUCUGUUUCCAUCUACCCCAUUAUCAACUACGUAUUGCAUAUAAAACAUUAGCGAUAAUGAAAGAAAGGGUCAUGUAUCUGCUUUCUCAAUCAUUAAUGCAAAAUUACCGAAUUUAAUGAUGUUACCAUUACGAAUGGAGAAAGGGUCAAACCAAAAAUAAAAAGUGCACCUUUUCAACUGGCGGACAAAGGACGAGACACGAGUGGCAUCAACGCGGGUAAAGCACCCCGCGUUUUACUACCAGACGGAACCCAUCAACGGGCUAUAAAGGACACACGUGUGAGUUCUAGAUCAACGGUCAAAACACAAGGGCACUCUAGUAAUAUCGUUAAACGACUUUAUGAGUUGUUGAAAAGUUAUGGUCUUUCCGAGGAAAGAAAAAGUAAAAAAUAAUAAUAAAAAUGGAUUUUUUUUCAUUAUUUUCAUAGUACACAUUUUGUUUUCAUUAAUGGAAUUUUAAAUUGUAUUAUUUUUUGUUGUUAGAACAAACAGAGGGCUAGAGUGAAAAUAAAUUUAACGGGGAGAGGAGAGAGAGUGGGAAGCAUAUGAGAAUAGGAAGAUGGGUGGAAAAAACGCCGUACAGAGGGGUGGCGGAUGACAGCGACUGCUCACUGACCCACAUAACUGACACGUGUCCUGACGCAAAAGGGUGUGGAGGUAAUAUUGAGCAAGCAUAAUGGAGAAAAAGGCAAAGAAGGAACACACAUUAACAAAAAUCAAUUGGGCAGAAGAUCCACAUAUGCCAGCUAAUAUUUUGCACAUUUACAGAAAGAGAGGAAAAAUUGUAGUAGAGGCGGAAGAAAGUUGAAAUGAAGAUAAAAUAAAAAAAAAGAAUAAAGAAUAAAAAAGUGGGAAUGGAGAGUUAAGUGUUGACCCAUUAUUAUUACUCACAUCACACCGGCCUGACCUAGUCCAGGGUAUUAGGGAAGAUGAGGAAUGGGGACAGGCAGCAUAGAAGGAGUAGAUGCACAUCACAACAUAUAAAAAUAUUAAUAUAUAUAGUAAGGUUGGGAAAAUAAUGAGAUAAAAAAAAUUGUGUGUGAGCAUAUAGAAGGAAAUUAAAUUAGGACAUUGGAGUUGGAGGAAUCUUUGAGCAUUAUUGAUGCAUUAAUCGCCACUCCUUCAACGGUUCAUAUCUUACCUCUUUUUAUAUAUUCUGUUCCCUUAUCAUCUUCCACUGCUCAACUCUCUCUCUCUCUCUCUCUAACACAAGCUUCCGUUUUUCUGUUUCUCUUCUCUCUACUCAGAACAUGGGUUCUUCUGCAGUACAAUUGUUUCUCAUCUUGGGGCUUCUGGCUACUUCUUGCAUAGCACAAGCCCCAGGUGGCGCACCCACGCAGCCUCCCACAACCACCCCACCACCACCGCCCGCAGCAGCACCAGUACCUGCACCCACUGCACCCGCAACUCCACCACCAUCUUCACCACCACCUGCACCCACACCCGCACCCACACCAACUGCUCCCACUCCUGCUCCAGCUUCUUCUCCUUCAUCUGCUGCAUCUCCCUCAGCUGAGUCACCAGGCUCUCCUACAUCUCCCCCAGCACCACCGGCCCCCUCAUCUGCACCUUCACCCUCAGUCAGCGAACCACCACCCUCACCCUCCUCCGCAUUCUCCGUUGGCAAGGCCUUCGUUGCCGGGUCUGCGCUCGCGGGAACCUUCGUAGCCAUGGUCUUGGCUUGAAGACAGACCUGACGGUUGGGAUUCGUCCACGUGGAGGCUCUUGGGCCCUUGAUCUUGUUUUACAGCGACGGACGGACGGACGGGAUCUGUUUCAUUUAUUUUAUCCUCUGGUCUUGUUGAGUAGCGGUUUUCUUUUUCUCUCUUUGGGGUUUUAUGUGUUAGUUUUGUUCGUUCGUGGUUGAUGUGUUUGUUGAUUCGAUAUCUGGGAGGGUUGGGUGUUGAUGAUGAUGAUGAUGAUGAUGAUGAUGGUGAUGGUAUUCAUGAUUAUGAUGAUUAUUUUGUGAUUCAUUGUUCUGGUGUUCACACGUGUACGUAGAUGACCUUGAUGAUUUCAUUGUACAUCUAAUAAUUGAAAGAAUAAAACAGUUUGUCAUUCUUUUUACUUACAAUCUUGUUCC